This 253-nucleotide ribosomal RNA is filed under the name uncultured bacterium. RNAcentral describes it as "partial 16S ribosomal RNA". It matches the Rfam family "Bacterial small subunit ribosomal RNA", at positions 524 to 776 of the family's 1533-position model. The record is from RNAcentral.
UACGGAGGGGGCGAGCGUUAUUCGGAAUUAUUGGGCGUAAAGGGCGCGUAGGCGGCCUUGUAAGUCAAAGGUGAAAUCCCUCGGCUCAACUGAGGAACUGCCUUUGAAACUGCAAGGCUUGAGGCCGGGAGGGGGUAGCGGAAUUCCCAAUGUAGCGGUGAAAUGCGUAGAUAUUGGGAGGAACACCAGUGGCGAAGGCGGCUACCUGGACCGGUUCUGACGCUGAGGCGCGAAAGCCAGGGGAGCAAACGGG